This is a non-coding RNA of Pelobates cultripes (western spadefoot toad), 320 nucleotides long. The record is from the annotation of a GenBank genome assembly. Lineage: Eukaryota; Metazoa; Chordata; Amphibia; Anura; Pelobatidae.
CAGCUUUUCAUCAAGACAAUCAUUUCAUAAAUAUAUAUGAUGCUAUUUCUACACCAAUCACUCUUCGUUUUCCUCUUUACAUGUAUGUAUUUUUCUCUAAAAAAAUGAUUUAACAUGAUGUAGAGCUCAGUAGAUGUCCUACUUACCUGUUUUUUUUUUCCUAGAUGGAUAUGAAUGUUUCACAAUUAAUCAGUCCCCUGAUUCUAUUACUAAAUUUGUUCCUGUACAGUCUACACUAUAUACAGCAACAUUGAAAUGUACGCCUUCCAGUUCUCCCGGUGGCAAUUAUAUUCACUGGUAUAUACAGAAACCAAACAAAG